UCGAGAAUUUUUCUCAAUGGGGGAAACCCUGAAGGAGCGACGCCGCGUGGAGGAUGAAGGUCUUCGGAUCGUAAACUCCUGUCAUUUGAGAACAAGUGUGGCCCGGUAACUACGGGUCACUUGAUAGUAUCAGAAGAGGAAGAGGCGGCUAACUCUGUGCCAGCAGCCGCGGUAAUACAGAGGCCUCAAGCGUUGUUCGGAUUCAUUGGGCGUAAAGGGUGCGUAGGCGGUUCCGUUAGUCGGAUGUGAAAUCCUGGGGCUCAACCCAGAACUGCAUUCGAUACUGCGGGGCUAGAGGACUGGAGAGGAGAGUGGAAUUCACGGUGUAGCAGUGAAAUGCGUAGAUAUCGUGAAGAACACCAAAGGCGAAAGCACUCUGCUGGGCCGAGACUGACACUGAGGGACGAAAGCUAGGGGAGCGAA
This 423-nucleotide ribosomal RNA is filed under the name uncultured bacterium. Its description in RNAcentral is "bacterial SSU rRNA". It matches the Rfam family "Bacterial small subunit ribosomal RNA", at positions 355 to 772 of the family's 1533-position model. The record is from RNAcentral.